RNAcentral lists this ribosomal RNA (1258 nucleotides) under Staphylococcus aureus. Its description in RNAcentral is "partial 23S ribosomal RNA". It matches the Rfam family "Bacterial large subunit ribosomal RNA", at positions 305 to 1561 of the family's 2925-position model. The record is from RNAcentral. Lineage: Bacteria; Bacillati; Bacillota; Bacilli; Caryophanales; Staphylococcaceae.
ACACUCUAUACGGAGUUACAAAGGACGACAUUAGACGAAUCAUCUGGAAAGAUGAAUCAAAGAAGGUAAUAAUCCUGUAGUCGAAAAUGUUGUCUCUCUUGAGUGGAUCCUGAGUACGACGGAGCACGUGAAAUUCCGUCGGAAUCUGGGAGGACCAUCUCCUAAGGCUAAAUACUCUCUAGUGACCGAUAGUGAACCAGUACCGUGAGGGAAAGGUGAAAAGCACCCCGGAAGGGGAGUGAAAUAGAACCUGAAACCGUGUGCUUACAAGUAGUCAGAGCCCGUUAAUGGGUGAUGGCGUGCCUUUUGUAGAAUGAACCGGCGAGUUACGAUUUGAUGCAAGGUUAAGCAGUAAAUGUGGAGCCGUAGCGAAAGCGAGUCUGAAUAGGGCGUUUAGUAUUUGGUCGUAGACCCGAAACCAGGUGAUCUACCCUUGGUCAGGUUGAAGUUCAGGUAACACUGAAUGGAGGACCGAACCGACUUACGUUGAAAAGUGAGCGGAUGAACUGAGGGUAGCGGAGAAAUUCCAAUCGAACCUGGAGAUAGCUGGUUCUCUCCGAAAUAGCUUUAGGGCUAGCCUCAAGUGAUGAUUAUUGGAGGUAGAGCACUGUUUGGACGAGGGGCCCCUCUCGGGUUACCGAAUUCAGACAAACUCCGAAUGCCAAUUAAUUUAACUUGGGAGUCAGAACAUGGGUGAUAAGGUCCGUGUUCGAAAGGGAAACAGCCCAGACCACCAGCUAAGGUCCCAAAAUAUAUGUUAAGUGGAAAAGGAUGUGGCGUUGCCCAGACAACUAGGAUGUUGGCUUAGAAGCAGCCAUCAUUUAAAGAGUGCGUAAUAGCUCACUAGUCGAGUGACACUGCGCCGAAAAUGUACCGGGGCUAAACAUAUUACCGAAGCUGUGGAUUGUCCUUUGGACAAUGGUAGGAGAGCGUUCUAAGGGCGUUGAAGCAUGAUCGUAAGGACAUGUGGAGCGCUUAGAAGUGAGAAUGCCGGUGUGAGUAGCGAAAGACGGGUGAGAAUCCCGUCCACCGAUUGACUAAGGUUUCCAGAGGAAGGCUCGUCCGCUCUGGGUUAGUCGGGUCCUAAGCUGAGGCCGACAGGCGUAGGCGAUGGAUAACAGGUUGAUAUUCCUGUACCACCUAUAAUCGUUUUAAUCGAUGGGGGGACGCAGUAGGAUAGGCGAAGCGUGCGAUUGGAUUGCACGUCUAAGCAGUAAGGCUGAGUAUUAGGCAAAUCCGGUACUCGUUAAGGCUGAGC